This 121-nucleotide ribosomal RNA is filed under the name Trabulsiella odontotermitis. Lineage: Bacteria; Pseudomonadati; Pseudomonadota; Gammaproteobacteria; Enterobacterales; Enterobacteriaceae. The record is from RNAcentral.
UGCCUGGCGGCUUUAGCGCGGUGGUCCCACCUGACCCCAUGCCGAACUCAGAAGUGAAACGCCGUAGCGCCGAUGGUAGUGUGGGGCUUCCCCAUGUGAGAGUAGGACACUGCCAGGCAUU